AACGCAGCUCAUUGUUCGCCUCGGCUGAACGUGGUGGCAGGUCCCUGCGCUCUGUGAGGUGCAGCUCCAGGAUUCAGUUUCAAACAGAGCUCGUGGACACAUUUCAUCCCUUUGAAACUGAGCUCGAGCCAGUGACAACAAAGAGACUUUCCACCAGUAACCACAGUCACCUGCGCCUCAUCCUGCCACGUUCUCACACGAGGAAGGAAACGUGCGCCUGAUUCGUGGGACUUUUACGCGCGGCUCUCUGUGGCCACUUUUAUCAUGUACGUUUCGCAACAGGAGAGCGUGUCUCACAUCACCUGUAAUUGGUUAAUCAGUUUAAAUAAACGCAUGUAAAUGACUUACCUGACCGAGCGCCUGCAGGUGUGCCGCAGAGCCAGGUGGGUGUUGAACGCGUGCGUACCAGGGAGGCACCGACAGCCAAUUUUGGCCACCGUAGAAAACGCUUUUAAAUCGGUUGAUAAACACUUUUUUUCCUCCCAAGUAUCCCAGUGAAAUCCACCACAAGUCACCCUGGGUAUGAUCCUUACCUUGUGUUAAUCCCGUGCUGUCUCAGCUUGGAGAACUUUUAAAUGACUGAGUCCUCACUAGCUUCCACCAUGAACACCCUCCUCUAACAAGUUCAAUAAUUAUAUCAACAAAACAACAAUCUCAAGAGCAGCCUUACUCUUUUUUCUUCUUCCUCUGGACACCUCGUGUAGUGUCAGGCUGGGACUUUGACCUGUCUCUAUCUUGCUCUGGUGAGAGCAUCAUAAAGCUGCUGCAAACUGUUGUGAAACAGACUGUGCAGAGGUGACUAAUGUGGACAAGUUAAAGUAAAAGCUGCAGAAUGCUGGCCCUGUACAAUAUAUAUAAAUCAAGGAAAUGAUACUUGAAGCCUCUGACAUCUGGGUUGGACAUUUUUAUCGGCUGUGCAGAUUUUACAGCAGUGAGUCCAGUCAGUGUGAAAGAGGGGGGAGCUGAAACGGUGGAUGCAAAAGGAAACACGGUGCAACAUGGCGAUGGAGACGCCACUCGGACCAGUUUGACGUACACUGAUGGCCUUACUUCAGAACAGCUCAGGGAUACAGCGACAUCCUCAAGGCCUACGUCAUUUUCUUCAAACAUCCAUCCCUCUGUCCAUCAUCUAUGUCUCUUAUCCUUUGAGAGGCGCAGGGGGGCUGGAGCACAUCCCAGCUGACACUGGGCAAGAGGCAGGAUACAUCCUGGACAGCUCACCAGUGUAUUGCAGCACUGACAUAUAGAGACAAACAUCCAUCCACACUGACAUUCACACCUACGCUCGAUUCAGAGUCUCAAUUAACCCAGUGUUUGAAUUGUAUGAAGAAGCUGCAAUACCUGAAACUCACGCCGGCACGGGGGAGAACAUGCAAACUCCAAAGAGAGAGAACACAGCCGGCCUGUCAAGUUCCAACCCAGGAGAUGACGGUGCUAACCACGGCUUUCCUCAAACAAAGGAGCAGCAAAAAUCAUGAAAUCCAACACGCAGCCAGAGCAGUUGUGAUAUAAAAAGGCACAGCUAAAAUGAGCUUCUUAUUGUUUUAUCUAUCAGGUCUGUUGGUAACAAGAUGCCUCUUCUGAAAUGCAUCUCAGCCUUAAACUGCUGUCUGUCACUGCACUGCCACUGACUCAUAACUUCAGAGAGAGAGCAAGAUAAUGUAGAUGGUUUUUAUUUAUCAGAAUUAUAUUCUGGCCUUUUAUAGAGACUCUCUUUGCUUUGGUUCCUUCCACUGAUGCUGAAGUGGAGAUCUCUGGAUCCUAUCCUAUAAAGAGCCUGAUUGCGUUCCUCCCAAUUCAUCUGACUUUACAAGGAGGGGGAUGACAUCUUCCCCUGACUGCUGUUUCCCAGUAAAUCACUCUGUUUUGUAAAAUAAUGAAUCGGGGUCAGAGCAAAGUUUGCCGUCAUAAUUAUUAACUAGCUGACUCCACGAGUUCCCAGUCUGCUCCCACCGCUGUUCUAACACAAGCCUGAGACUUCUACCUGCCAUAUCAUCAAACUGGAUUCUGAUACAGUGUUUGAAUUCAGCUUUUAUUCAUACAUAAGAAAAUACUUUUCCACAGCUUUUCCAAGACCACUUUUAACUUAAGGCCUCAAAUAAAUAAAACAAAUCCAAUUGCGUCUGCCUGGAAA
Molecule: long non-coding RNA, 2134 nt
Organism: Hippoglossus stenolepis (Pacific halibut)
Lineage: Eukaryota; Metazoa; Chordata; Actinopteri; Pleuronectiformes; Pleuronectidae
Exons: 3
Source: RefSeq, a predicted model, not a curated record